AUUGAACGCUGGCGGCAUGCUUUACACAUGCAAGUCGAACGGCAGCGCGGGCUUCGGCCUGGCGGCGAGUGGCGAACGGGUGAGUAAUACAUCGGAACGUGCCCAGUAGUGGGGGAUAGCUCGGCGAAAGCCGGAUUAAUACCGCAUACGACCUGAGGGUGAAAGCGGGGGAUCUUCGGACCUCGCGCUAUUGGAGCGGCCGAUGGCAGAUUAGCUAGUUGGUGGGGUAAAGGCCUACCAAGGCGACGAUCUGUAGCUGGUCUGAGAGGACGACCAGCCACACUGGGACUGAGACACGGCCCAGACUCCUGCGGGAGGCAGCAGUGGGGAAUUUUGGACAAUGGGCGAAAGCCUGAUCCAGCAAUGCCGCGUGUGUGAUGAAGGCCUUCGGGUUGUAAAGCACUUUUGGCGGGAACGAAAAGGACUGUGCCAAUACCACGGUUCGAUGACGGUACCCGAAGAAUAAGCACCGGCUAACUACGUG
This 484-nucleotide ribosomal RNA is filed under the name uncultured bacterium. RNAcentral describes it as "partial 16S ribosomal RNA". It matches the Rfam family "Bacterial small subunit ribosomal RNA", at positions 29 to 507 of the family's 1533-position model. The record is from RNAcentral.